GUAGUCCACGCCGUAAACGAUGAGUGCUAGGUGUUGGGGGGUACCACCCUCAGUGCCGAAGCUAACGCAUUAAGCACUCCGCCUGGGGAGUACGGUCGCAAGACUGAAACUCAAAGGAAUUGACGGGGGCCCGCACAAGCAGUGGAGCAUGUGGUUUAAUUCGAAGCAACGCGAAGAACCUUACCAAGACUUGACAUCCCGCUGACCGGUUUAGAGAUAGACCUUCCCUUCGGGGCAGCGGUGACAGGUGGUGCAUGGUUGUCGUCAGCUCGUGUCGUGAGAUGUUGGGUUAAGUCCCGCAACGAGCGCAACCCCUAAAUUGUGUUGCCAUCAUUUAGUUGGGCACUCAC
Molecule: ribosomal RNA, 350 nt
Filed under: uncultured Tumebacillus sp.
Lineage: Bacteria; Bacillati; Bacillota; Bacilli; Caryophanales; Alicyclobacillaceae
Description: bacterial SSU rRNA
Rfam family: Bacterial small subunit ribosomal RNA
Source: RNAcentral